UCGGAGUCAGGAUGGCGCUGGUUUUACUGAAGUUGUGGCCAACAAACCUCAUAACUCAGUCAGACCACGCCAUACUGCUCACU
Molecule: microRNA precursor, 83 nt
Filed under: Capitella teleta
Lineage: Eukaryota; Metazoa; Annelida; Polychaeta; Capitellidae
Description: microRNA cte-mir-2688 precursor
Source: miRBase by way of RNAcentral